RNAcentral lists this ribosomal RNA (491 nucleotides) under Pseudomonas sp. 01WB02.2-24. RNAcentral's name for it is "bacterial SSU rRNA". It matches the Rfam family "Bacterial small subunit ribosomal RNA", at positions 16 to 500 of the family's 1533-position model. Lineage: Bacteria; Pseudomonadati; Pseudomonadota; Gammaproteobacteria; Pseudomonadales; Pseudomonadaceae. The record is from RNAcentral.
AUCCUGGCUCAGAUUGAACGCUGGCGGCAGGCCUAACACAUGCAAGUCGAGCGGCAGCACGGGUACUUGUACCUGGUGGCGAGCGGCGGACGGGUGAGUAAUGCCUAGGAAUCUGCCUGGUAGUGGGGGAUAACGCUCGGAAACGGACGCUAAUACCGCAUACGUCCUACGGGAGAAAGCAGGGGACCUUCGGGCCUUGCGCUAUCAGAUGAGCCUAGGUCGGAUUAGCUAGUUGGUGAGGUAAUGGCUCACCAAGGCGACGAUCCGUAACUGGUCUGAGAGGAUGAUCAGUCACACUGGAACUGAGACACGGUCCAGACUCCUACGGGAGGCAGCAGUGGGGAAUAUUGGACAAUGGGCGAAAGCCUGAUCCAGCCAUGCCGCGUGUGUGAAGAAGGUCUUCGGAUUGUAAAGCACUUUAAGUUGGGAGGAAGGGCAGUUACCUAAUACGUAAUUGUUUUGACGUUACCGACAGAAUAAGCACCGGCUAA